AGAGUUUGAUCCUGGCUCAGAUUGAACGCUGGCGGCAGGCCUAACACAUGCAAGUCGGGCGGUAACAGGGAGAAGCUUGCUUCUCCGCUGACGAGCGGCGGACGGGUGAGUAAUGUAUGGGGAUCUGCCUGAUGGCGGGGGAUAACUACUGGAAACGGUAGCUAAUACCGCAUAAUGUCUUCGGACCAAAGUGUGGGACCUUCGGGCCACAUGCCAUUUGAUGAACCCAUAUGGGAUUAGCUAGUAGGUGGGGUAAUGGCUCACCUAGGCGACGAUCUCUAGCUGGUCUGAGAGGAUGACCAGCCACACUGGAACUGAGACACGGUCCAGACUCCUACGGGAGGCAGCAGUGGGGAAUAUUGCACAAUGGGGGAAACCCUGAUGCAGCCAUGCCGCGUGUAUGAAGAAGGCCUUAGGGUUGUAAAGUACUUUCGACAGGGACGAUGAUGACGGUACCUGUAGAAGAAGCCCCGGCUAACUUCGUGCCAGCAGCCGCGGUAAUAC
RNAcentral lists this ribosomal RNA (504 nucleotides) under uncultured bacterium. RNAcentral describes it as "bacterial SSU rRNA". It matches the Rfam family "Bacterial small subunit ribosomal RNA", at positions 8 to 526 of the family's 1533-position model. The record is from RNAcentral.